UUUCCUUUGAUAGGCCAAACAUUACACCAAUCUCUGUAAGUGAUUUCGGCUUGUUGUUGGGGAUUCCAAAACGGUAUUGAAUUAUUUGCCUUUCCCUAGGUUUGAGAAUCCUAAGAAGACCGCGUACAUGCUGCCUCAUCAUCUGUUUAGCCAUGCUGAGGUCUGGAGUUUCUACCUCAGGAUCUCCUGUGAUCUCCUGCUAGAAUCAAUGGUGAUGAGAAAUCCAGUCCAUCACAGAAUACUACAUAGCAUCCAUUUGAUUGAUGAAAAAUUCAGAGAAGCGUUGCUUUUGGUUUAAGAAAAAUGUUUGAAUUCUGCGACUCAUAUAUGAGAAGUUUGUUCCAAACUCUAGCAUAAAUGGCAAGAGAACAGAGAAUAUACAAUGCCCUAGAGACUAGCAUUUUUAGAUAGACUACCAUUUAUGGUUUAAUCCCUGUUGACUGAAAAUUUAUUCCUGGCCCUUGAUUUCAAUGACCAUUUUAUGUUCAGCCCCUUUUAUGCAUAAAUUUUCUCAGGAACAAACAUUACUGUCUAAAAAGGCCUAACUAUUUACAAGAACUAAGUAUAAUUUUUUGCUGGCUAAACAAAAGAUGCAAGUUAACCAGGUGUUAAGUUCCCCAAUAUAAAAUCGAUGACCAAAACAUACCACUUUGUGAUCAGGUCCAUUCUAAUGGAUUUUUAUACAAGAGAAUGAAUAGACAAACUGAAACAUAUAUCUAACAUAAGAUUAGGUGGAUGAAGUAGAGUAUUGCUUCUGGACUGUUAUGUAACCAACACAUGUAUUAACGAAUAAAAUGGUAAUAAGACCCAUUUGCUUGUAUGGUUCAAAAUGUUGGGUUACAAAUGCAGUCUAAGCAAACAAGAUGCAUGUCGCACAUAGAAGAACACUGAAAUGGAUAUGUGGUAAAAUUAGGCCGGAGUGAGAAACCAUUUUGUUAGGUAAGGCAUAUGAGUUGCAUAGAUAAAGCUAUGAAAAGCUAACUGAGAUGGUAUAGGCAUAUGCAACGAGUUCUAAAGGAGAGGUAGCAUUACAAUUUUACCAUUAGGGAGCUAGAAAAAUUGUUAAACAUUCUUAAUUAUACCAUAUUGUUAUUAGUAUUCUUUGAUACUAAACAUCCAGAAUAAUUAUCUAUGAUGAAAUUACAGAGUGCAGGUACCUGAAAAGUGACAUCUUGAUCUGUCCAAGCACAUUCCUGAAUUGAGAUUGGGUUUCUAGUGGUUAGCAACAGAACUUUCAACCUCUCAACACUGAUGCCAACCUGUUUUGCUAUCUCUUCAUUUGUUGGGGCAUGGCCUUCUUGAAUGAAUAAUCUCCUUGCUUUCUUUAUACUUUUCAAAAGUCCAAACACAUUCUCCUGCAACAACAACGUAUAUUAAGGAAUAAAUCAUAUAAAAGAACCAAGAAUCAUUCAAGACAAAAGUCAUACCGGCAAACGAAUGACCCGUGAGUUCAAAAAUAUGGCCUUCCUAAUUGAUUGCCGUAUCCACCAAUAUGCAUAGGUUGAAAAUCUGCAUCCAACUUUUGGCUUGAACUUCUCCAAGCUCUUCAUAAGGCCCCUGCUUCCCUCCUACAAUAACACAAAAUUGUUGAUGCUUCAAGGAUAAAUAAGAGUUUACUAUUAGAAAAAUCAGGAACACAUUUAAAAAUAAAAAAUAUUCAGAUCAAAAUGCUUAUAUAUUAGUCAAAAAUUCCCACCAAGGAAUCUGUCAUAGAGCAAAUAUAGAGUAUUGCCAUUUCUAGCUAUUAACUUGAGAACUAUUAUACAUUACUGAUGCGAUGGAUUUUUCUAUUACUAUAAACCAAGUUCCAGUGCAUUCUGUAACUGCUAGAGGAGAAGAGCAAGCAUUCAUAUCAAGGUUCUCCGUCUCGGUACCUGACCCCGUACCGGUGCCACGCUAGCAUUGUGUCAAUACGAUACGGUACGAAAAUUUUUUGGCAUACUAAAUGUUGGUACGCCAUCCAUACUGGUACCGGUACCAAAGCAGUAUGGUACAGUAUGCCCGGUACUGUCUAGUUCGGUACGGUACAGCAUACCAUAGUUCAUAUUUCAUAUCCCAAAUAGAUGUGAAACUUGCCAACAGAAAGGAGAUUAGCAGCACUUUCAGCAUAUAGUGCAGAGCAAUUCCAAGGACAACACUAGUUCUCAGAAUAUAGCAACAAAAACAAAAGAAAGUGCUACAGCCACUUGAUAAUAAAGAACAAAGAAUGCACACGUAGAGAAAACUGACCAACCUGCAGUAGAUCCAGAAUAUUGAGGCCCUUCCCUUCAUACUGUUUAGCCACAUGUACCACAAGACGUAAAUUAGCAUUAAUCAUCUUCUCUCGACUACGUUUUCCGGACGAAAGGCAACAUUGCAAAGCUUGGCAACUCAUUCCAACAGCUUGAGCCCACUCAGAUAGUGUUGGUUCACGAUCAAAUUGCAACCGAAGUCUCUGUUGAACUUCUUCCAAUCUCAUAAGAUCCUGUUAGCAGAGGAUAGUGGAGCACCUUUUAACAAACAUCACUAUACUUCUAAGACCACACAAAUAAUUAUGAAGCUCGCACAAGAGCAUCCGAAGAAGACAUACCUGUAUCUGAACAAAUAGAUCCUUUUCUUCUUUGACUGUUAAUAGUUGCUUUGUCUCAGGACCCCACAAGAACAAUCUGAGGGGGUCAUUUGGAUCAAGACCCUUAUCUAUCUUUUUGUUCAUGCCUGUGGUCAUCGACUUAGAAACCUCACAGGCAACAUUUUUUGAGUUCUUCCCAACCUUGCGUUUCUUAGACCGCCUCUCCAAUAAUCGUUUUGAUCUAACAGCCACUUCCUCUUUGAUGGAAAUAUCCAUUGUGGAUCCUCUGUGGUUCAAACUGAUUACAUAAUAUAUUAUAGUUCAACUUAAUGGGGCAUAAGAAUAUCAAAUCUUAAGCAGGAAAGGAACAAAAGCAUUAAACUAAUGAGAAACAAACCCAAGAAAAUGUGAUUCAUCAAAUUCAGCUGCUAAGAUGUUGGACUCUUCCAUUAAUGAUGCUGCUUUUCUUGAGGCUCUCAUGGCUCUUUUUGCAAGGGCAAGAACAUCUGCUGGCCUCACAAAAUCUGCACAAUUCUCCAACGACAUUUUGUUCUUCCUUGCUGAUAUAGUUGGUUUUAUAAUCAUCAUGUUGUUCCUGUGAAAGAACUGACAUAGGAAAAUGACAAACUAUAGAUGUAGUUGGCACAGAGAUAUUUGUCCAACUUGCUUGAUCAUGUAGCAUUGGAACCGAAGUGGGGAAGCGAUUUCUAACAUGGGUUCUUGUGGGAUUGGGUGGGGGUGAAGCGAGGAGCCUCCUUCCAGCCUCCAUCUCUCACGAGAAUUUAGAGUUGGGAUGAUGAACGUAUUCUUGUACUAAUUUGUUAUCACUUUUUAUGGGUUCUGUGGACAUUGCUAAUGGAGUCUUCUCCUCGGUGUACAGAGACAGAAAUCUGAAACAAACAAUUGAAACAGGAAAAGGUUGAGAAAUUAAUAAACCAGUGUUAAGAAAUUCAUGUAAAAUACUUGAUCAUAACAUAAGAGAUGAGCCCAAGUUAUCUUACGGAUACCAGAAAACCUGAUGAUAAAGCAAUUGGUGUUCGAAGUAUCUCAGACAUUGGGCAACUUCACACUUUGCCUUCUCUUCAAAACAUGAUCUUCCACUCUCAACUUGCCGGUCAUCCUGUGUUAUUUCUAAGGUUAAAAUUUAAGGGUAUAAAGGCUAUGGGUAAAUGAAAUGUACAAAAAUAAAUGUGAUUCUCUUGCCAGAAAUUUAAUCAAAUCAACCUUUUUGUGAACAUUACGAAGUCAGGGGCAAAAUAAAAUCAGUGGGACUAUAAAAUAGACAUUUCUUAUGUUCCACACUUAAGAAUUUAAAGCAACCAAAGUACAUGUCUAUAGUUUAAAAUUCAUAUUAUUAUGUCACAAAAUGUUCUGGCUCACAAAAAAGGAGAAUUCUCAGUCAUAACUAGAUCAACGUUGUGUGAGAAGUUCUUUUUGUUGUUGUUUAUUGGUAAACUGAUAAGAGCCUGAAUGGCAUUUUAAUAAGAUAUUUUCCUCACCCUCUGAGUUGAACAGUACUUUCUUCACCACCCAGCUGCAAAGGUUUGAAAAGACUCUUCAAGUUUACCCGCUAGAUUCAACUCACAUUCACAAGGGUAUCCAACAUGGUGUACUGCCCCAUACUGCUCGGUACAGGGCAUACGAUACUAUACCGGGAGAAAACUGGAACAAAACUCAACCUCGAAUCAAUACAAACUCUGUACCACACCGUACCGCCAUACUAUGGCAUACCGACUUACACCAAGGCAUAUCGAGGUGCGUACCGAUCCGUACCGAAGCAUAUCGAUCUAUAUCGAGGUGUACCGAGAUAAAAUUGAGAAAAAUGGUUUGGGAGCUAUUUCAGUACAGGAACCAUACCAUAUCGAGGCACCGAUACAGUACCCGAUACCGAGAUUACAGACCUUGGUAUCCAAUAGAUGCAAGAUGAUUAUUUUUUCCUACCUUAAAAGUUGUUCGUAGGCUUACAUGGAAGGCUUCUUGUCUUUGUUAUAGUUACAUUCACAAAGACUUUGAGGAAAAAAAUUUAGUAUCAAGCUAUUUUAUGCAACUUUCCUUGACUCCAAUAAUAAGAAUUCCUUUCAUCAUUGAGCUUGCGAGACUUACGAAGGAAUUAGUAUGUAUGUACAGUCAGUUACAGAUAUAUAUGAAGCUAAUGGGUGCAGAUAAAACAAUUUCCAGAUAUGUGCGGUAAUGAGAACCUAGAGUAGCAAUUCUAGAUAUGCCCCCAGCCCAUGGCUCAGACGGCAGUCCUUCAACUUGUCCAAUGCCCGGCUUUCUAGCUGCCUUACCCUUUCCUUUGAUAGGCCAAACAUUACACCAAUCUCUGUAAGUGAUUUCGGCUUGUUGUUGGGGAUUCCAAAACGGUAUUGAAUUAUUUGCCUUUCCCUAGGUUUGAGAAUCCUAAGAAGACCGCGUACAUGCUGCCUCAUCAUCUGUUUAGCCAUGCUGAGGUCUGGAGUUUCUACCUCAGGAUCUCCUGUGAUCUCCUGAAAAGUGACAUCUUGAUCUGUCCAAGCACAUUCCUGAAUUGAGAUUGGGUUUCUAGUGGUUAGCAACAGAACUUUCAACCUCUCAACACUGAUGCCAACCUGUUUUGCUAUCUCUUCAUUUGUUGGGGCAUGGCCUUCUUGAAUGAAUAAUCUCCUUGCUUUCUUUAUACUUUUCAAAAGUCCAAACACAUUCUCCGGCAAACGAAUGACCCGUGAGUUCAAAAAUAUGGCCUUCCUAAUUGAUUGCCGUAUCCACCAAUAUGCAUAGGUUGAAAAUCUGCAUCCAACUUUUGGCUUGAACUUCUCCAAGCUCUUCAUAAGGCCCCUGCUUCCCUCCUGCAGUAGAUCCAGAAUAUUGAGGCCCUUCCCUUCAUACUGUUUAGCCACAUGUACCACAAGACGUAAAUUAGCAUUAAUCAUCUUCUCUCGACUACGUUUUCCAGACGAAAGGCAACAUUGCAAAGCUUGGCAACUCAUUCCAACAGCUUGAGCCCACUCAGAUAGUGUUGGUUCACGAUCAAAGUGCAACCGAAGUCUCUGUUGAACUUCUUCCAAUAGCAUAAGAUCCUGUAUCUGAACAAAUAGAUCCUUUUCUUCUUUGACUGUUAAUAGUUGCUUUGUCUCAGGACCCCACAAGAACAAUCUGAGGGGGUCAUUUGGAUCAAGACCCUUAUCUAUCUUUUUGUUCAUGCCUGUGGUCAUUGACUUAGAAACCUCACAGGCAACAUUUUUUGAGUUCUUCCCAACCUUGCGUUUCUUAGACCGCCUCUCCAAUAAUCGUUUUGAUCUAACAGCCACUUCCUCUUUGAUGGAAAUAUCCAUUGUGGAUCCUCUGUGGUUCAAACCCAAGAAAAUGUGAUUCAUCAAAUUCAGCUGCUAAGAUGUUGGACUCUUCCAUUAAUGAUGCUGCUUUUCUUGAGGCUCUCAUGGCUCUUUUUGCAAGGGCAAGAACAUCUGCUGGCCUCACAAAAUCUGCACAAUU
RNAcentral lists this long non-coding RNA (6019 nucleotides) under Phoenix dactylifera (date palm). Its description in RNAcentral is "long non-coding RNA (PDAC_LNC005061)". Lineage: Eukaryota; Viridiplantae; Streptophyta; Magnoliopsida; Arecales; Arecaceae. The record is from RNAcentral.